GGUGUGUGCGUGAUUUUACUUGUUACAUUAUUUAUGUAUUGCAUUUAAAAAAAGUCUGCUCACAAAACUCAUUAUUUUCUUGACAGGGACUCGUCCAACCUAAGUCCAGUUCAUUCCCCAGCAUCAUAGUGCUGUGGGCGAUGAAGAUGCUGGAUUUGAUAGAACGGCUGCAAGCCCAUCUCCUCCAACACAUGCGGCGGCCACACCGACCCCGCCACCGCCUCCACCGCGGUCUCCACCUCCUCCACCGAGGUCUCCAACGCCUCCACCAUGUUCUUCAAUGCCAAAA
This 289-nucleotide long non-coding RNA is filed under the name Sorghum bicolor (sorghum). RNAcentral describes it as "long non-coding RNA (SBIC_LNC008697)". The record is from RNAcentral. Lineage: Eukaryota; Viridiplantae; Streptophyta; Magnoliopsida; Poales; Poaceae.